CCUACGGGUGGCAGCAGUGGGGAAUAUUGCACAAUGGGGGAAACCCUGAUGCAGCGACGCCGCGUGAGUGAAGACGUAAUUCGUUAUGUAAAGCUCUAUCAGCAGGGAAGAAAAUGACGGUACCUGAGUAAGAAGCCCCGGCGAACUACGUGCCAGCAGCCGCGGUAAUACGGAGGGGGCAAGCGUUAUCCGGAUUUACUGGGUGUAAAGGGGGCGUAGACGGUAGUGCAAGUCUGGAGUGAAAGACGGAGGCUCAACCCCAGGGCUGCUCUGGAAACUGUACGGCUGGAGUGCAGGUGAGGUAGGUGGAAUUCGUAGUGUAGCGGUGAAAUGCAUAGAUAUUAGGCAGAACACCGGUGGCGAAGGCAGCUUGCUAGACUGGAACUGACGUUGAGGCUCGAAAGCGUGGGGAGCGAACAGGAUUAGAUACCCCGGUAGUC
RNAcentral lists this ribosomal RNA (440 nucleotides) under uncultured bacterium. RNAcentral's name for it is "partial 16S ribosomal RNA". It matches the Rfam family "Bacterial small subunit ribosomal RNA", at positions 338 to 795 of the family's 1533-position model. The record is from RNAcentral.